CCUACGGGUGGCUGCAGUGAGGAAUAUUGGUCAAUGGGCGCAAGCCUGAACCAGCCAAGUCGCGUGAAGGAAGAAGGCCCUACGGUUUGUAAACUUCUUUUAUAGGGGAAUAAAGGUAUGCACGUGUGCCUAGUUGAAUGUACCCUAUGAAUAAGCAUCGGCUAACUCCGUGCCAGCAGCCGCGGUAAUACGGAGGAUACGAGCGUUAUCCGGAUUUAUUGGGUUUAAAGGGUGCGUAUGUGGUUUGUUAAGUCAGUUGUGAAAGUUUGGGGCUCAACCAUAAGAUUGCCGUUGAAACUGGAAGACUUGAGUGUGGUUGAGGUAGGCGGAAUGCGUGGUGUAGCGGUGAAAUGCAUAGAUAUCACGCAGAACUCCGAUUGCGAAGGCAGCUUACUAAGCCACAACUGACACUGAAGCACGAAAGCGUGGGGAUCAAACAGGAUUAGAUACCCGAGUAGUC
Molecule: ribosomal RNA, 460 nt
Filed under: uncultured bacterium
Lineage: Bacteria
Description: partial 16S ribosomal RNA
Rfam family: Bacterial small subunit ribosomal RNA
Source: RNAcentral